UACGGAAGGCAGCAGUGGGGAAUAUUGGCACAAGUGGGACGAAACGCCUGACUGCCAGCUACUGCCGCGUGUAUGAAGAAGGUCCCGUUAGGGUUAGUAAGUACUUUUCAUCGGGGAGGAAAAACAAAACUAAUAAUUUAUUUCUUGAGUUACCCGAAAAAGAAGCACCGGCUAACUCCGUGCCAGCAGCCGCGGUAAUACGGAGGGGUGCUAGCGUUAAGUCAGAAGUUACUUAGGGCGUAAAGAGCGACUAGGGGUUUUUUUUAAAGUCUAAAGGAUAGUCGAAAAUCCCCUUAGGGGUCUUAAACCUUGGAACUUAAGCAUUUUGAAACUGAAAUACUGAAGUAUCGUAGAGGGAAGUGAAUCUAGUGUAGACGGUGAAAAUGCGUAGGAUAUCUGG
This 400-nucleotide ribosomal RNA is filed under the name uncultured bacterium. RNAcentral's name for it is "bacterial SSU rRNA". It matches the Rfam family "Bacterial small subunit ribosomal RNA", at positions 340 to 703 of the family's 1533-position model. The record is from RNAcentral.